AUGGUCCUCGCCGCACUGGCCGGCCUGUUCGUGAACAAUGCAAAGCCGCUGCGAGGUGGCUCGGCGCCGGGCCGGCUGAAGGCAAAACAGAGGCAUCGCCUGGAAGGCUAUUGCUUGCUCUACUUCGACUACUUCACCGACGCUCCACUGCACGGCGAGAAAGUAUUUCGGCACCAUUAUUGGAUGAGCCGAAAGCUCUUCCUCAGGAUUGUGAAUUCCAUCCGUGAGUGCGACAACUACUUCAAAUGCAAGAAGAAUUGCACCAGCACACUUGGAUUCACAUCACUCCAGAAGUGCACGACAGCUAUGAGGAUGCUUGCAUACGGAGCUUCCGGUGAUUCACUUGAAGACUAUGGACGCAUGGUCGAGUCCACGACCAUUGAGUAUUUGUACAAGUUCUGUAGGGUAGUGGUGGCAGUGUUUGGACCUUAA
This 432-nucleotide ribosomal RNA is filed under the name Triticum aestivum (bread wheat). Its description in RNAcentral is "partial small subunit ribosomal RNA". The record is from RNAcentral. Lineage: Eukaryota; Viridiplantae; Streptophyta; Magnoliopsida; Poales; Poaceae.